GGAUGAACGUUGGCGGUGUGCUUAAUACAUGUAAGUCGAACGAGGUACUUUUAUCUUCGGAUGAGAGUAUCCUAGUGGCGAACGGGUGAGUAACACGUUGGUGACCUGCCCCGAAGUGUGGGAUAACAGUUCGAAAGGACUGCUAAUACCGCAUGCGAUCGCUUGGAUUAGAAGCCUUGCGAUUAAAGGAGUAAUCCGCUUUGGGAGGGACCUGCGUCCCAUCAGCUAGUUGGUAAGGUAACGGCUUACCAAGGCAAUGACGGGUAGGGGACCUGAGAGGGUGACCCCCCACACUGGCACUGAAACACGGGCCAGACACCUACGGGUGGCAGCAGUAGGGAAUCUUGGACAAUAGGCGAAAGCCUGAUCCAGCAAUGCCGCGUGCACGAUGAAGGUCUUCGGAUUGUAAAGUGCUUUUAGAAGGGAUGAGUAAGGACAGUACCUUCUGAAUAAGCCUCAGCGAACUACGUGCCAGCAGCCGCGGUAAGACGUAGGAGGCAAGCGUUAUCCGGAUUUAUUGGGCGUAAAGCGCGUGCAGGCGGUUUGGUAAGUUGGAUGUGAAAUCUCUCGGCUUAACCGGGAGAGGUCGUUCAAAACUACCAGACUCGAGAUUGGUAGAGGGAGGUGGAAUUCCAGGUGUAGUGGUGAAAUGCGCAGAUAUCUGGAGGAACACCAGUGGCGAAGGCGGCCUCCUGGACCAUACCUGACACUCAGACGCGAAAGCUAGGGUAGCAAACGGAAUUAGAGACUCCGGUAGUCCUAGCCCUAAACGAUGCAGACUAGGCGUCGGCGGUUUAAUCACCGUCGGUGUCCAAGCUAACGCGAUAAGUCUGCCGCCUGAGGACUACGGCCGCAAGGCUAAAACUCAAAGGAAUUGACGGGUCCCCGCACAAGCAGCGGAGCGUGUGGUUUAAUUCGAUGCUCCGCGAAGAACCUUACCUGGGUUUGACAUAACAGUGGUAGAGAAACGAAAGUGGACCGACCCUUCGGGGAGCUGUUACGGGUGUUGCAUGGCUGUCGUCAGCUCGUGUCGUGAGAUGUUCGGUUAAGUCCGCUAACGAGCGCAACCCGCGCUGUGUGUUACAAGUGUCACACAGUACCGCCGGUAUUAAGUCGGAGGAAGGUGCGGAUGACGUCAAGUCAGCAUGACCUUUAUAUCCAGGGCUACACACACGCUACAAUGGUCAGCACAAUAGGUUGCCAAGCCGCAAGGCGGAGCCAAUCCUCCAAAGCUGGCCUCAGUUCAGAUUGCAGGCUGCAACUCGCCUGCAUGAAGUCGGAGUUGCUAGUAACCGCAGGUCAGCAUACUGCGGUGAAUACGUUCCCGGGGAU
Molecule: ribosomal RNA, 1332 nt
Filed under: uncultured bacterium
Lineage: Bacteria
Description: bacterial SSU rRNA
Rfam family: Bacterial small subunit ribosomal RNA
Source: RNAcentral